CCAGCCUUUCUCCCUACACCCUACACUUCCCUUAGUUCCAGUUGUAGUUGUAUGGAAGGUUCUGGGAGUCAAAGGGUAGUGAGUUUGGCAGUAAGGAAAGGACGUGAAGCUCCUGUCCUUUCUGACUCCAUGUGUUCCUGUAAAUCCUGUUAUGCCUAUUUCCCAGGAUCUUACGCUUUUUUCCAGAUUGUUGAGGACUAAGAUCUGGGCAGUGGCCUUCUGGGAAUAAAGACUUUCCAGAGACAUUUCAAUGGGUUAAUUCCAUUUUUCCCACAGUUAGGACUUAGAAACAGGCACAUAGAAGUCAGUCUUUUGUUUUCAAUGGUUUACUUCCCCUCCCCUUCUUGGGCAUAUUUAUUUAUUUUGGGGUUUCCCAUGUAUUUCAUUCAUUCUUUCAGGAAUUAUUCAAUAUCAACUGGUGCUAGAAUCCUGAGAACAAGAAACAUUGACCUGUCUUCACAAAGCUUAUAGUUUAGUUGGAAAGACAGGCAAUUAAAUGAGCAAUGUAAUGAAGUGUGAUUUAUUGCUAUAUCAACAUGAUUAAAGGAAGUUUUAAAUAGAGCAUGUUUCUCUCAUAAUUUUACCAUAGCAAUAAAGCAGCUGCUUUCAUACUUUUCUGUAUUUUCUUUCAAUAUUUGUCCAUAUGCAAACAUUUUUAUAUAAUUGUGAUUGUUUUCUAGUUAUAAUUUCUUGUUUUUCCACUUCUAGAUAAUUUUUACAUAUUGUUACAGUCUUAAUACUUAUAUUUUCAUAGGUGUUGUACUAUGAUUUCUUCAAUUAUUUCUACUAGACAGCUGUGUUGACUUAUAAUUUUUUACCAUUAAUACAUAGUAAAACCAGAGGCAUUCUCAAUUUUCAGGAAAGGAACUACUUGAUUAAAGAUAUGAUGAUAUAUUUAGCUUUUGAUAGAUAUUGCUAUACUGCUUCCUACAAAAGAUUUUCCCAGUUUGAAGUUUAUCAACCAUUUUUACCUCACUUUCUAGCACACAGUAUUAGUAUCUUUUCAAGUAUUAAUAUAAUAGGUAUAAAAGCCAUAUUUGACUAUUUUAAUAUAUAUUUCUAUGAGUACAGUGAGGUUGAAUGUUUUCCCUAAUGUUUAUUUAUAAAUAUAUGUGAAAAAAUUGUCUUUUGGUAAUUGUCUUGUAGAUUUGCUUACUUGGUGGUUUGAUUUUGAAUGAAACGUUCAUUGUUAGUGAACAAAAAUAGAUGACAGUGAAUAGAAUGUCUUCUUGGUAAUUUGCUCUAACUUGGCAAAAAACUCCUUUGAUUGUGGAGUUAAGAAUCGGAUUCUUGGAGCUAGAGUUAGUACUAUGUGUUGGACUGACAACUGUGGGCUCUCUCUCUCUAUGUAUAGGCUGUGAGUGCCUUUAGGGGAAGGACCAUGUUUUAUUCUUUGUCUCAGCAUUUAGCAGCUUGGCUGAUAGUAAGUCUCAAAAAAUCGUUGAAAGAAUAAGGGCACUAAAUAAUCUCCUUCAACUGUCAUUCUUAUGUGUUCAUAUAGAGCCUAAAAUUUCACCAUUUAAUAUUCAUUCUUUGAAGCUUAAAAGACUUACUAGUCUUGGAAGUCUCUAGGAAUUUAUUAAUACCUAUAGGCAGAUGAAUAUGGUAAUCUCAGGCAACAUAUUGGAGAUUAUAACCUCUAUAUGAGAAUAAUACUUUGUAGGGAUGGAACAUAGAAUAGACACCUGGUGGUGGAGGAGUGGAGAUGGGAUGAUAGAGAUGUUCAGGAGACUAUUAGGAAUUUAUCAGAAAUAAACCUCAUGUAUUGCAAAGAAUCCCAGGAAUAUGAGAGCUGGAAAUUAAUCUUUGAGAUUCUCUGAGCCUUGGUAUCCUUGUAUGUAAAUGUGAAUGAGAAUACUUACUUUCCAGGGUUAUUGUGAGACUUGAUUGAAAUCAAUAGGUUAUGAAAACGCUUUGUAAACUCUAAAGUACUGUGUGAAUUAAAAAAAAAAGUCAUUGUUGUCAUCACUAUCAUGUAGGAAACCAAGGAAUAGAGGGAUAAAAUUACUUUUAUUUUUUUCUAGGAGCUAGAUUUAUUCUUCAUAUUUUGCAGUCAAUCUUUAUCAUUUGAAGAUGCAAUUGAAAAAAUCUUUUAUCCUUACCUGAAAACAUGUUCAUUGAUUCUAGACAGAGGAAAUGGGAGGUAAAAAGAGAGAGGAAGAAACAUCGAUUCGAGAGAGAAAUGUGAAUCAGUCACCUCUCAUAAGCACUCAGACCAGGGACCAGAUCCACAACCUAGGCAUGUGCCCUGACUGGGAAUCGAACCCAUGACCUUUUCUGUGUAUGGGACGACACUCCAACCAACUGAGCCACACCGGCCAGGGAGAAAUGUCUAAAGUGUUAUUUUCCCCACAAGGAAAUAGUGAGGAAGGGUAGAGGGUGGGGGUAGAUAGUUUUGGGGAGUGAAUAGAUUCUUUCUGUCCAACUGUUUUUCCUAGAGCAGAAUGAAGCACAACAAAAAGAGGUAGACAAAACAGUACGAGCAUGGCAAAGCAUAGGUCAUAUGUACAGGCUGUAAUUGAUGAUUGAAACUGAGUUAAGAUAGGAAGAAUCAUGAUCUGAUGUUGGAGCAGGAAAUUGGGAUCUGAUAAGGAGAAUUUUUCUUUAUCCUGUAGUCAGUGGUCAGUAGUGAAGGUUUGGAGCAGGGGUGACUCAAUCAGUGCCUUACUGAUUGGUUUAUCUAGAGGCAAUGUAGAAAAUAGGGACGAGGAAGAACUUGUGCAGGCCUGGAGUCCAGUUUAGGGGCAUGUUUUAACUGUAUAUCUCAUUCAUCUAUGAGAUACUGAAGGCUUGUAAUGAAUAGGACCAUGGCAGUGGAGAAGAAAGAAUGGGUACAAGGAUGUCAGAGAGUAUGGUCCUAGGCUAAAGGGGCUCUGGGCCCUUAUGCCAGUCAAUGUAUUCUCUCUCCCAGAGGUUUGUUUUUCCUGUAAACUUUAAAAAAAUCGAAAUAUAAAAGUGCACAAAUAUACAGCAUAGGAGCACCUGCUAAGCUUUUAUAACACCCCUUUAGUCAUUACUUCACAUCCCUCAGUAGGUAACCACUAUUUUUACUUUUUUCACCACAUACUAAUUUUGCCUGGGUUUUGAGCUUUAUUGCAAUAGAAUUAUGCAAUAUUAACUCUUUUGUGUCUAGCUUCUUUUGUUUGACAUGAUGUUUAUGAGAGUCAUCAGUUUUUUGUAUGAAGCAUUAGUUCAUUCCAUUUUAUUGCUCAUUUGUAUUCCAUUGUAUGAAUAUAUCACAAUUUAUCUAUUUUGCUGUUAAUAGAUACUUAAUUAUUCCCAUUUGGAGGCUAUGUGCAGUUCUUGUAUGUCUUUUGAUGCAUAUUAACUUUUGUUUCCUAUCCAGGAAUGGAAUUUGCUGGGUUAUUGUCAGUGUAUGCAACUACUACCAAACAGUUUUAUAGAGUUUUACGGAAUUUAUCAGUUUACACACCCACCAAAAGUGUGUAAGAGUUCCUUAGCAAUAUUUGUGUCUUAGCUCAGGCUGCUAUAACAAAUACCAUAGGCUGGGUGGCUUAAACAACAGAAACGUAUUUCUCAUAGUUCUGGAACCUGGAAGUCCAAGAUAAGGUUGCAUGAUCAAUUUCUGGUGCAAGUCUUCCUGGCUUGAAGAGGCUGCUUUCUUUCUGUAUCCUCAUACAGUGGAGAGAGAGAGCCCUGGUCUCUUCAGCCCUUUGUAAGGGCACCAAACCCAUCAUGGGAGCUCCACCCUUGUGACCUCGUCUAAACCUAAUUACCUCUCAAAGGUCCAUCCUCUAAAUAUCAUCACUUUGGGGAUUAGGGCUUCAACAUAUGGAUUUUGGGGAGGACACAUUUGGUCUAUAGUGAGUUAUAUAAUUAUUCAGUAUUGCAGUACUUUAAAUAUCAAAGGCUUUUAUGUUAUAAGAAACUUAGGGGAGAAAGGAACUACUGGUUAUCAGUUGUCUGCUACAUACCAGAUACUAAAUGCUUUUAUUUAUAUUGUCCCAUUUAAUCAAGAUAAUACUCAUAUAAAGUGUCAGAUCAUUGUUAUUGCAUUGAUUUUAUAGGCCAGAAAACAGAUUCACAGGUUAGUUAGGCAGCUUGUAAUUGCCAUCCAGAAUCUAACCUAGAUCUGCUUGAAUCCAAACCAGGCACAUCAUGUGGAAAUCUGCAGUUUGUCAGUGAUGU
Phyllostomus discolor (pale spear-nosed bat) is the source of this 4149-nucleotide long non-coding RNA. RefSeq lists it as uncharacterized. Lineage: Eukaryota; Metazoa; Chordata; Mammalia; Chiroptera; Phyllostomidae. The record is from RefSeq and is a predicted model, not a curated record. The transcript has 2 exons.